GGGGCUAUAGCUCAGCUGGGAGAGCGCUUGAAUGGCAUUCAAGAGGUCAGCGGUUCGAUCCCGCUUAGCUCCACCA
This 76-nucleotide transfer RNA is filed under the name Methylobacterium sp. Its description in RNAcentral is "tRNA-Ala". It matches the Rfam family "tRNA". Rfam says of the family: Transfer RNA (tRNA) molecules are approximately 80 nucleotides in length. Their secondary structure includes four short double-helical elements and three loops (D, anti-codon, and T loops). RNAcentral also lists the same sequence under 143 other names. Lineage: Bacteria; Pseudomonadati; Pseudomonadota; Alphaproteobacteria; Hyphomicrobiales; Methylobacteriaceae. The record is from RNAcentral.